GAUGAAGAACGCAGCGAAAUGCGAUAAGUAGUGUGAAUUGCAGAAUUCAGUGAAUCAUCGAAUCUUUGAACGCACAUUGCGCCCUUUGGUAUUCCUUAGGGCAUGCCUGUUCGAGCGUCAUUUAAACCUUCAAGCUAAGCUUGGUGUUGGGUGACUGUCCGCUUCACGGCGGACUCGCCUCAAAAUUAUUGGCGGCCGGUACAUUGGCUUCGAGCGCAGCAGAAACGCGAACUCGGGCCCGUCGUAUUGGCUCCCAGAAGCUAUCUUCACAAUUUUGACCUCGAAUCAGGUAGGGAUACCCGCUGAACUUAAGCAUAUCAAUAAGCGGAGGA
Molecule: unclassified non-coding RNA, 332 nt
Filed under: soil metagenome
Description: partial contains 5.8S ribosomal RNA, internal transcribed spacer 2, and large subunit ribosomal RNA
Rfam family: 5.8S ribosomal RNA (bases 1-120)
Source: RNAcentral